RNAcentral lists this ribosomal RNA (293 nucleotides) under uncultured bacterium. Its description in RNAcentral is "partial 16S ribosomal RNA". It matches the Rfam family "Bacterial small subunit ribosomal RNA", at positions 505 to 796 of the family's 1533-position model. The record is from RNAcentral.
GUGCCAGCAGCCGCGGUAAGACGAACCGUGCGAACGUUAUUCGGAAUCAUUGGGCUUAAAGGGCGCGUAGGCGGCGGUGUAAGUUGGAAGUGAAAUCCCAUCGGCUCAACCGUGGAAUUGCUCCCAGUACUGCAUCGCUCGAGGGGGAUAGGGGUUUGCGGAACUACCGGUGGAGCGGUGAAAUGUGUUGAUAUCGGUGGGAACGCCAGUGGCGAAAGCGGCAAACUUGACCCUUCCUGACGCUGAGGCGCGAAAGCUAGGGGAGCAAACGGGAUUAGAUACCCCCGUAGUCC